AGCGAACGCUGGCGGCAGGCCUAACACAUGCAAGUCGAACGAACCUUUCGGGGUUAGUGGCGGACGGGUGAGUAACACGUGGGAACGUGCCUUUAGGUUCGGAAUAACUCAGGGAAACUUGUGCUAAUACCGAAUGUGCCCUUCGGGGGAAAGAUUAAUCGCCUUUAGAGCGGCCCGCGUCUGAUUAGCUAGUUGGUUGAGGUAAUGGCUCACCAAGGCGACGAUCAGUAGCUGGUCUGAGAGGAUGAUCAGCCACAUUGGGACUGAGACACGGCCCAAACUCCUACGGGAAGCAGCAGUGGGGAAUCUUGCGAAAUGGGCGAAAGCCUGACGCAGCCAUGCCGGGUGAAUGAUGAAGGUCUUAGGAUUGUAAAAUUCUUUCACCGGGGACGAUAAUGACGGUACCCGGAGAAGAAGCCCCGGCUAACUUCGUG
RNAcentral lists this ribosomal RNA (434 nucleotides) under uncultured bacterium. RNAcentral's name for it is "partial 16S ribosomal RNA". It matches the Rfam family "Bacterial small subunit ribosomal RNA", at positions 29 to 507 of the family's 1533-position model. The record is from RNAcentral.